Molecule: ribosomal RNA, 388 nt
Filed under: uncultured bacterium
Lineage: Bacteria
Description: bacterial SSU rRNA
Rfam family: Bacterial small subunit ribosomal RNA
Source: RNAcentral
AAUGGGCGCAAGCCUGAUGCAGCAACGCCGCGUGAACGAUGAAGGUUCUAUGAAUCGUAAAGUUCUGUUCUUGAGGAAGAAACAAAUGACGGUACUCAAGAAGAAAGCCCCGGCUAACUACGUGCCAGCAGCCGCGGUAAUACGUAGGGGGCAAGCGUUAUCCGGAAUUAUUGGGCGUAAAGGGUGCGUAGGUGGUUUUGUAAGCGUGGGGUCAAAGGCAAUAGCUUAACUAUUGUUCGCCCUGCGAACUGCGAAACUUGAGUGCAGGAGAGGUAAGUGGAAUUCCUAGUGUAGCGGUGAAAUGCGUAGAUAUUAGGAGGAACACCAGUGGCGAAGGCGACUUACUGGACUGUAACUGACACUGAGGCACGAAAGCGUGGGGAGCAAA